RNAcentral lists this transfer RNA (71 nucleotides) under Ovis aries (sheep). It matches the Rfam family "tRNA". From Rfam's summary of the family: Transfer RNA (tRNA) molecules are approximately 80 nucleotides in length. Their secondary structure includes four short double-helical elements and three loops (D, anti-codon, and T loops). The record is from Rfam by way of RNAcentral. Lineage: Eukaryota; Metazoa; Chordata; Mammalia; Artiodactyla; Bovidae.
UCCCUGGUGGCUCGAUGGUAAAGCAUCUGACUGCAAUACAGGAGACCCAGGUUUGAUCCUUGGGUUGGGAA